UACAGAGGGGGCAAGCGUUGUUCGGAAUUACUGGGCGUAAAGGGCGCGUAGGCGGCCUUCUAAGUCGAACGUGAAAUCCCCGGGCUUAACCCGGGAACUGCGUCCGAUACUGGAAGGCUUGAAUCCGGGAGAGGGAUGCGGAAUUCCAGGUGUAGCGGUGAAAUGCGUAGAUAUCUGGAGGAACACCGGUGGCGAAGGCGGCAUCCUGGACCGGCAUUGACGCUGAGGCGCGAAAGCCAGGGGAGCAAACGGG
This 253-nucleotide ribosomal RNA is filed under the name uncultured bacterium. Its description in RNAcentral is "partial 16S ribosomal RNA". It matches the Rfam family "Bacterial small subunit ribosomal RNA", at positions 524 to 776 of the family's 1533-position model. The record is from RNAcentral.